Anopheles funestus (African malaria mosquito) is the source of this 5641-nucleotide long non-coding RNA. RefSeq lists it as uncharacterized. The transcript has 3 exons. The record is from RefSeq and is a predicted model, not a curated record. Lineage: Eukaryota; Metazoa; Arthropoda; Insecta; Diptera; Culicidae.
CUGUGGUCGAUAGAUGGCAACAAUGGCUACAUUUUCUUCUUGGACGGCCAUGCUCUCAGGUGUCCGGGUCGGAAGUUAUUCGAGGAACCAAGUUCCUUACCCUGUUUGAGAAAAUGUAAAAUUUUCCUCAUUGUUGCACAAAAUUUUGCUUAUAACUCGGUCGGUAUCCAACGGAUCGCCAAUCUUCAACCUGUGGUCGAUAGAUGGCAUCAAUGGCUACAUUUUCUUCUUGGACAGUCAUGCUCUCAGGUGUCCGGGCCGGAAGUUAUUCGAGGAACCAAGUUCCUUACCCUGUUUGAGAAAAUGUAAAAUUUUGGUCAUUUUUGAGUAAUUUAGCUAAAUUUAUAAAUGUGAUAUAUUUUCAUGCAAAUUUGUUGCAAUGUGAUUCUUUUCACUCAAAUAAUGCUUUAAAUUAAAAAUAGAAUAAAAAAUCAGAAAAAAAAUUUUAAAAAAUUUUCAACUCGAAAAUUUCAUAAGGCUUACCCCUUACGUUUUUUUUGAGAAAUUUUGCAAAAAAAAUGAAAUUGAUUUAUUUUAAUGCCAAUUGGUUGCAAUGUGUUUCUUUUCACUCAAGUAAUGAUUUAAAUAAAAAAAUAGUGCAAAAUAAUAAAAAAAUCAAAAAAUUCAAAAAAAGAAAAUUUACUAAGGCUCAUUUUUGCACCAAGUUUUGCCUAUAACUCGGUCCGUAUCCAACGGAUCGCCAAUCUUUAACCUGUGGUCGAUAGAUGGCAACAAUGGCUACAUUUUCUUCUUGGACGGCCAUGCUCUCAGGUGUCCGGGUCGGAAGUUAUUCGAGGAACCAAGUUCCUUACCCUGUUUGAGAAAAUGUAAAAUUUUCCUCAUUGUUGCACAAAAUUUUGCUUAUAACUCGGUCGGUAUCCAACGGAUCGCUAAUCUUUAACCUGUGGUCGAUAGAUGGCAUCAAUGGCUACAUUUUCUUCUUGGACAGCCAUGCUCUCAGGUGUCCGGGCCGGAAGUUAUUCGAGGAACCAAGUUCCUUCCCCUGUUUGAGAAAAUGUAAGAUUUUGGUCUUUUUUGAGCAAUUUAGCAAAAUUUAUAAAUGUGAUAUAUUUUCAUGCAAAUUUGUUGCAAUGUGUUUCUUUUCACUCAAAUAAUGCUUUAAAUUAAAAAUAGAAUAAAAAAUCACAAAAAAAAUUUACAAAAAUUUUCAACUCGAAAAUUUCAUAAGGCUUACCCCUUACGUUUUUUUGAGAAUUUUUGCAAAAAAAAUGAAAUUGUUUUAUUCUAAUGCCAAUCGGUUGCAAUGUGUUUCUUUUCACUCAAGUAAUGCUUUAAAUGAAAAAAAGAGUGAAAAAUAAUAAAAAAAAUCAAAAAAUUCAAAAAAAGAAAAUUUACUAAGGCUCAUUUUUGCACCAAGUUUUGCCUAUAACUCGGUCCGUAUCCAACGGAUCGCCAAUCUUUAACCUGUGGUCGAUAGAUGACAACAAUGGCUACAUUUUCUUCUUGGACGGCCAUGCUCUCAGGUGUCCGCGCCGGAAGUUAUUCGAGGAACCAAGUUCCUUACCCUGUUUGAGAAAAUGUAAAAUUUUCCUCUUUGUUGCACCCAGUUUUGCCUAUAACUCGGUCCGUAUCCAACGGAUUGCCAAUCUUUAACCUGUGGUCGAUAGAUGGCAUCAAUGGCUACAUUUUCUUCUUGGACAGCCAUGCUCUCAGGUGUCCGGGCCGGAAGUUAUUCGAGGAACCAAGUUCCUUACCCUGUUUGAGAAAAUGUAAAAUUUUGGUCAUUUUUGAGUAAUUUAGCUAAAUUUAUAAAUGUGAUAUAUUUUCAUGCAAAUUUGUUGCAAUGUGAUUCUUUUCACUCAAAUAAUGCUUUAAAUUAAAAAUAGAAUAAAAAAUCAGAAAAAAAAUUUUAAAAAAUUUUCAACUCGAAAAUUUCAUAAGGCUUACCCCUUACGUUUUUUUUGAGAAAUUUUGCAAAAAAAAUGAAAUUGAUUUAUUUUAAUGCCAAUUGGUUGCAAUGUGUUUCUUUUCACUCAAGUAAUGAUUUAAAUAAAAAAAUAGUGCAAAAUAAUAAAAAAAUCAAAAAAUUCAAAAAAAGAAAAUUUACUAAGGCUCAUUUUUGCACCAAGUUUUGCCUAUAACUCGGUCCGUAUCCAACGGAUCGCCAAUCUUUAACCUGUGGUCGAUAGAUGGCAACAAUGGCUACAUUUUCUUCUUGGACGGCCAUGCUCUCAGGUGUCCGGGUCGGAAGUUAUUCGAGGAACCAAGUUCCUUACCCUGUUUGAGAAAAUGUAAAAUUUUCCUCAUUGUUGCACAAAAUUUUGCUUAUAACUCGGUCGGUAUCCAACGGAUCGCUAAUCUUUAACCUGUGGUCGAUAGAUGGCAUCAAUGGCUACAUUUUCUUCUUGGACAGCCAUGCUCUCAGGUGUCCGGGCCGGAAGUUAUUCGAGGAACCAAGUUCCUUCCCCUGUUUGAGAAAAUGUAAGAUUUUGGUCUUUUUUGAGCAAUUUAGCAAAAUUUAUAAAUGUGAUAUAUUUUCAUGCAAAUUUGUUGCAAUGUGUUUCUUUUCACUCAAAUAAUGCUUUAAAUUAAAAAUAGAAUAAAAAAUCAGAAAAAAAAAAUUAAAAAAUUUUCAACUCGAAAAUUUCAUAAGGCUUACCCCUUACGUUUUUUUUGAGAAAUUUUGCAAAAAAAAUGAAAUUGAUUUAUUUUAAUGCCAAUUGGUUGCAAUGUGUUUCUUUUCACUCAAGUAAUGAUUUAAAUAAAAAAAUAGUGCAAAAUAAUAAAAAAAUCAAAAAAUUCAAAAAAAAGAAAAUUUACUAAGGCUCAUUUUUGCACCAAGUUUUGCUUAUAACUCGGUCUGUAUCCAACGGAUCGCCAAUCUUUAACCUGUGGUCGAUAGAUGGCAACAAUGGCUACAUUUUCUUCUUGGACAGCCAUGCUCUCAGGUGUCCGGGCCGGAAGUUAUUCGAGGAACCAAGUUCCUUACCCUGUUUGAGAAAAUGUAAAAUUUUGGUCAUUUUUGAGUAAUUUAGCUAAAUUUAUAAAUGUGAUAUAUUUUCAUGCAAAUUUGUUGCAAUGUGUUUCUUUUCACUCAAAUAAUGCUUUAAAUUAAAAAUAGAAUAAAAAAUCACAAAAAAAAUUUUAAAAAAUUUUCAAGUCGAAAAUUUCAUAAGGCUUACCCCUUACGUUUUUUUGGGAAAUUUUGCAAAAAAAAUGAAAUUGAUUUAUUUUAAUGCCAAUUGGUUGCAAUGUGUUUCUUUUCACUCAAGUAAUGAUUUAAAUAAAAAAAUAGUGCAAAAUAAUAAAAAAAUCAAAAAAUUAAAAAAAAAAAGAAAAUUUACUAAGGCUCAUUUUUGCACCAAGUUUUGCCUAUAACUCGGUCCGUAUCCAACGGAUCGCCAAUCUUCAACCUGUGGUCGAUAGAUGGCAUCAAUGGCUACAUUUUCUUUUUGGACAGUCAUGCUCUCAGGUGUCCGGGCCGGAAGUUAUUCGAGGAACCAAGUUCCUUACCCUGUUUGAGAAAAUGUAAAAUUUUGGUCAUUUUUGAGUAAUUUAGCUAAAUUUAUAAAUGUGAUAUAUUUUCAUGCAAAUUUGUUGCAAUGUGAUUCUUUUCACUCAAAUAAUGCUUUAAAUUAAAAAUAGAAUAAAAAAUCAGAAAAAAAAUUUUAAAAAAUUUUCAACUCGAAAAUUUCAUAAGGCUUACCCCUUACGUUUUUUUGAGAAAUUUUGCAAAAAAAAUGAAAUUGAUUUAUUUUAAUGCCAAUUGGUUGCAAUGUGUUUCUUUUCACUCAAGUAAUGAUUUAAAUAAAAAAAUAGUGCAAAAUAAUAAAAAAAUCAAAAAAUUCAAAAAAAAGAAAAUUUACUAAGGCUCAUUUUUGCACCAAGUUUUGCCUAUAACUCGGUCCGUAUCCAACGGAUCGCCAAUCUUUAACCUGUGGUCGAUAGAUGGCAACAAUGGCUACAUUUUCUUCUUGGACGGCCAUGCUCUCAGGUGUCCGGGUCGGAAGUUAUUCGAGGAACCAAGUUCCUUACCCUGUUUGAGAAAAUGUAAAAUUUUCCUCAUUGUUGCACAAAAUUUUGCUUAUAACUCGGUCGGUAUCCAACGGAUCGCUAAUCUUUAACCUGUGGUCGAUAGAUGGCAUCAAUGGCUACAUUUUCUUCUUGGACAGCCAUGCUCUCAGGUGUCCGGGCCGGAAGUUAUUCGAGGAACCAAGUUCCUUCCCCUGUUUGAGAAAAUGUAAGAUUUUGGUCUUUUUUGAGCAAUUUAGCAAAAUUUAUAAAUGUGAUAUAUUUUCAUGCAAAUUUGUUGCAAUGUGUUUCUUUUCACUCAAAUAAUGCUUUAAAUUAAAAAUAGAAUAAAAAAUCACAAAAAAAAUUUUAAAAAAUUUUCAACUCGAAAAUUUCAUAAGGCUUACCCCUUACGUUUUUUUUGGGAAAUUUUGCAAAAAAAAAUGAAAUUGAUUUAUUUUAAUGCCAAUUGGUUGCAAUGUGUUUCUUUUCACUCAAGUAAUGAUUUAAAUAAAAAAAAUAGUGCAAAAUAAUAAAAAAAAUCAAAAAAUUCAAAAAAAGAAAAUUUACUAAGGCUCAUUUUUGCACCAAGUUUUGCCUAUAACUCGGUCCGUAUCCAACGGAUCGCCAAUCUUUAACCUGUGGUCGAUAGAUGGCAUCAAUGGCUACAUUUUCUUCUUGGACGGCCAUGCUCUCAGGUGUUCGGGUCGGAAUUUAUUCGAGGAACCAAGUUCCUUACCCUGUUUGAGAAAAUGUAAAAUUUUCCUCAUUGUUGCACAAAAUUUUGCUUAUAACUCGGUCGGUAUCCAACGGAUCGCUAAUCUUUAACCUGUGGUCGAUAGAUGGCAUCAAUGGCUACAUUUUCUUCUUGGACAGCCAUGCUCUCAGGUGUCCGGGCCGGAAGUUAUUCGAGGAACCAAGUUCCUUCCCCUGUUUGAGAAAAUGUAAGAUUUUGGUCUUUUUUGAGCAAUUUAGCAAAAUUUAUAAAUGUGAUAUAUUUUCAUGCAAAUUUGUUGCAAUGUGUUUCUUUUCACUCAAAUAAUGCUUUAAAUUAAAAAUAGAAUAAAAAAUCAGAAAAAAAAUUUUAAAAAAUUUUCAACUCGAAAAUUUCAUAAGGCUUACCCCUUCCGUUUUUUUGAGAAUUUUUGCAAAAAAAAUGAAAUUGUUUUAUUCUAAUGCCAAUCGGUUGCAAUGUGUUUCUUUUCACUCAAGUAAUGCUUUAAAUGAAAAAAAGAGUGAAAAAUAAUAAAAAAAAUCAAAAAAUUCAAAAAAAGAAAAUUUACUAAGGCUCAUUUUUGCACCAAGUUUUGCCUAUAACUCGGUCCGUAUCCAACGGAUCGCCAAUCUUUAACCUGUGGUCGAUAGAUGACAACAAUGGCUACAUUUUCUUCUUGGACGGCCAUGCUCUCAGGUGUCCGCGCCGGAAGUUAUUCGAGGAACCGAGUUCCUUACCCUGUUUGAGAAAAUGUAAAAUUUUCCUCUUUGUUGCACCCAGUUUUGCCUAUAACUCGGUCCGUAUCCAACGGAUUGCCAAUCUUUAACCUGUGGUCGAUAGAUGGCAACAAUGGCUACAUUUUCUUCUUGGACAGCCAUGCUCUCAGGUGUCCGGGCCGGAAGUUAUUCGAGGAACCAAGUUCCUUACCCUGUUUGAGAAAAUGUAAAAUUUUCC